GAUUUCUGGCUUGGCGCUCUUGGCCCGCCACGGUUACGUGUGUGAGUGCUGGGUAGCGCCUGCCAUCCUUCUAGGCAGCAUGUCUGCUCUUUAUUGAGUGGCUAUGUCGCCUAGAUCUUUUACUUUGAAAAAAUUAGAGUGUUUAAAGCAGGCUUUUGCUAUGAAUACAUUAGCAUGGAAUAAUAAUUUAGGACUUCGGUUCUAUUUUGUUGGUUUCUAGGACUGAAGUAAUGAUUGAUAGGGACAGUUGGGGGUGCUAGUAUUCCGCGGCCAGAGGUGAAAUUCUUGGAUUCGCGGAAGACUAACUACUGCGAAAGCAUU
This 321-nucleotide ribosomal RNA is filed under the name Allapsidae sp. RNAcentral describes it as "SSU rRNA". The stretch from base 103 to 321 matches the Rfam family "Eukaryotic small subunit ribosomal RNA", at positions 735 to 955 of the family's 1831-position model. Lineage: Eukaryota; Cercozoa; Glissomonadida; Viridiraptoridae. The record is from RNAcentral.